GCCAUGUCCUCAACAUCCUUUCUCUUUCUGCCAUCAACGCUUCAUGCAGCGUUGCUACAUAACAUAAAACAAGAAGUACAACUGCAGAGUCUUCACAAGAUUUCUACAUGUGAAUUCAUAUCUGCACCUUGAAAGAUGGGGGGCACCUGCCCUUGCCCAAGCACAGCUGUGUUUGCCUCACCAGACACAUCAGAGAUGCUUGGACAAAGUUUCCUUGAAGAAGAGAAAAUAAAAGAAAAAGAAAGAAAAAGAAAAAGCACGAAAUCGAAUUAGGAUCAAAAGACUUGCAGCUACAACGCCAGUGAAAUUAGAUACAUGCUAAAUAUGAGGACAGAGGGACUGGACGAUUCAGCUGUUACCAUGCUAUCUGGAGAUCGGGAGAUGUGCUGCCAUUUCUUGCUGCAAGAGAUUUCUGACACAAGGAACCUGAAAAUGUAAUUAGUCUUCCUGUUCCUCUCUCUCAAAUAUUCAGCUGUUACAGCAAAGAAUACCAUAAAACACAUUAAAUACAAUCAGUUAUUUAAAUAUUUUUUCUUUUUGUCUCCAAAAACUUUUUGAUACUCUGCUCCUUCAACACGUGACUGUACAUACCCUUUGCUUCACAACUUCUCGUGUAGAAAAGCAUCACCCAAGCUCAAAAUAUACUCCCUACUAAUUCUGAUCUUGUGCAUAUUUAGAGAGGUUUUGAGUUCAGUCUUACAAUAUUUAUGUGACCAUAAUCAGACAUGAUUGGGAUCAUCCUUUAGUUCUUUUUAAAGUUUUUUAUGUAUGACUAACAUUGUGGACCCAGUCUUUUAGCCUGUGCUGACAGUAGGAUAUUUCUGUCAUUCCACACACAGGUUUAGAUUGGGGUAGGUGAAGAGCAGGUAAUUUUGGUGAUUUCCAUCAAGAUUUUAAGGACUUCUUUUCUGUUCAAGUGUAGCAAAGAUUUACAUGCUUAAUUUAGGGAGAAGGGGUAUUACAUUGUUUGAAGCAUCUAGUGGAUUACAAGAAGAGUAGAGUUGCCUUGAGGUAAUUUCUGAAAUAAGACACAGACAGACACAGGUGAAUAACAGCCUAAGUGAAUCACUCCAUUUAACUCAAUAGAAGUAUUCAUUCAAGUGCCAAGACUGUCAGCAGUAGCUCUGUUUGUAUUUAGUCUCUCU
RNAcentral lists this long non-coding RNA (1145 nucleotides) under Apteryx rowi (Okarito brown kiwi). RNAcentral's name for it is "lncRNA (ENSARWG00000003318.1)". Lineage: Eukaryota; Metazoa; Chordata; Aves; Apterygiformes; Apterygidae. The record is from RNAcentral.